AGAUUAAGUUAUUAAGGGCGCACGGUGGAUGCCUUGGCACUAGAAGCCGAUGAAGGACGUUACUAACGACGAUAUGCUUUGGGGAGCUGUAAGUAAGCUUUGAUCCAGAGAUUUCCGAAUGGGGAAACCCAGCAUGAGUUAUGUCAUGUUAUCGAUAUGUGAAUACAUAGCAUAUCAGAAGGCACACCCGGAGAACUGAAACAUCUUAGUACCCGGAGGAAGAGAAAGAAAAUUCGAUUCCCUUAGUAGCGGCGAGCGAAACGGGAAGAGCCCAAACCAACAAGCUUGCUUGUUGGGGUUGUAGGACACUCUAUACGGAGUUACAAAGGACGACAUUAGACGAAUCAUCUGGAAAGAUGAAUCAAAGAAGGUAAUAAUCCUGUAGUCGAAAAUGUUGUCUCUCUUGAGUGGAUCCUGAGUACGACGGAGCACGUGAAAUUCCGUCGGAAUCUGGGAGGACCAUCUCCUAAGGCUAAAUACUCUCUAGUGACCGAUAGUGAACCAGUACCGUGAGGGAAAGGUGAAAAGCACCCCGGAAGGGGAGUGAAACAGAACCUGAAACCGUGUGCUUACAAGUAGUCAGAGCCCGUUAAUGGGUGAUGGCGUGCCUUUUGUAGAAUGAACCGGCGAGUUACGAUUUGAUGCAAGGUUAAGCAGUAAAUGUGGAGCCGUAGCGAAAGCGAGUCUGAAUAGGGCGUUUAGUAUUUGGUCGUAGACCCGAAACCAGGUGAUCUACCCUUGGUCAGGUUGAAGUUCAGGUAACACUGAAUGGAGGACCGAACCGACUUACGUUGAAAAGUGAGCGGAUGAACUGAGGGUAGCGGAGAAAUUCCAAUCGAACCUGGAGAUAGCUGGUUCUCUCCGAAAUAGCUUUAGGGCUAGCCUCAAGUGAUGAUUAUUGGAGGUAGAGCACUGUUUGGACGAGGGGCCCCUCUCGGGUUACCGAAUUCAGACAAACUCCGAAUGCCAAUUAAUUUAACUUGGGAGUCAGAACAUGGGUGAUAAGGUCCGUGUUCGAAAGGGAAACAGCCCAGACCACCAGCUAAGGUCCCAAAAUAUAUGUUAAGUGGAAAAGGAUGUGGCGUUGCCCAGACAACUAGGAUGUUGGCUUAGAAGCAGCCAUCAUUUAAAGAGUGCGUAAUAGCUCACUAGUCGAGUGACACUGCGCCGAAAAUGUACCGGGGCUAAACAUAUUACCGAAGCUGUGGAUUGUCCUUUGGACAAUGGUAGGAGAGCGUUCUAAGGGCGUUGAAGCAUGAUCGUAAGGACAUGUGGAGCGCUUAGAAGUGAGAAUGCCGGUGUGAGUAGCGAAAGACGGGUGAGAAUCCCGUCCACCGAUUGACUAAGGUUUCCAGAGGAAGGCUCGUCCGCUCUGGGUUAGUCGGGUCCUAAGCUGAGGCCGACAGGCGUAGGCGAUGGAUAACAGGUUGAUAUUCCUGUACCACCUAUAAUCGUUUUAAUCGAUGGGGGGACGCAGUAGGAUAGGCGAAGCGUGCGAUUGGAUUGCACGUCUAAGCAGUAAGGCUGAGUAUUAGGCAAAUCCGGUACUCAUUAAGGCUGAGCUGUGAUGGGGAGAAGACAUUGUGUCUUCGAGUCGUUGAUUUCACACUGCCGAGAAAAGCCUCUAGAUAGAAAAUAGGUGCCCGUACCGCAAACCGACACAGGUAGUCAAGAUGAGAAUUCUAAGGUGAGCGAGCGAACUCUCGUUAAGGAACUCGGCAAAAUGACCCCGUAACUUCGGGAGAAGGGGUGCUCUUUAGGGUUAACGCCCAGAAGAGCCGCAGUGAAUAGGCCCAAGCGACUGUUUAUCAAAAACACAGGUCUCUGCUAAACCGUAAGGUGAUGUAUAGGGGCUGACGCCUGCCCGGUGCUGGAAGGUUAAGAGGAGUGGUUAGCUUCUGCGAAGCUACGAAUCGAAGCCCCAGUAAACGGCGGCCGUAACUAUAACGGUCCUAAGGUAGCGAAAUUCCUUGUCGGGUAAGUUCCGACCCGCACGAAAGGCGUAACGAUUUGGGCACUGUCUCAACGAGAGACUCGGUGAAAUCAUAGUACCUGUGAAGAUGCAGGUUACCCGCGACAGGACGGAAAGACCCCGUGGAGCUUUACUGUAGCCUGAUAUUGAAAUUCGGCACAGCUUGUACAGGAUAGGUAGGAGCCUUUGAAACGUGAGCGCUAGCUUACGUGGAGGCGCUGGUGGGAUACUACCCUAGCUGUGUUGGCUUUCUAACCCGCACCACUUAUCGUGGUGGGAGACAGUGUCAGGCGGGCAGUUUGACUGGGGCGGUCGCCUCCUAAAAGGUAACGGAGGCGCUCAAAGGUUCCCUCAGAAUGGUUGGAAAUCAUUCAUAGAGUGUAAAGGCAUAAGGGAGCUUGACUGCGAGACCUACAAGUCGAGCAGGGUCGAAAGACGGACUUAGUGAUCCGGUGGUUCCGCAUGGAAGGGCCAUCGCUCAACGGAUAAAAGCUACCCCGGGGAUAACAGGCUUAUCUCCCCCAAGAGUUCACAUCGACGGGGAGGUUUGGCACCUCGAUGUCGGCUCAUCGCAUCCUGGGGCUGUAGUCGGUCCCAAGGGUUGGGCUGUUCGCCCAUUAAAGCGGUACGCGAGCUGGGUUCAGAACGUCGUGAGACAGUUCGGUCCCUAUCCGUCGUGGGCGUAGGAAAUUUGAGAGGAGCUGUCCUUAGUACGAGAGGACCGGGAUGGACAUACCUCUGGUGUACCAGUUGUCGUGCCAACGGCAUAGCUGGGUAGCUAUGUGUGGACGGGAUAAGUGCUGAAAGCAUCUAAGCAUGAAGCCCCCCUCAAGAUGAGAUUUCCCAACUUCGGUUAUAAGAUCCCUCAAAGAUGAUGAGGUUAAUAGGUUCGAGGUGGAAGCAUGGUGACAUGUGGAGCUGACGAAUACUAAUCGAUCGAAGACUUAAUCAAAUU
This 2927-nucleotide ribosomal RNA is filed under the name Staphylococcus aureus. RNAcentral's name for it is "bacterial LSU rRNA". It matches the Rfam family "Bacterial large subunit ribosomal RNA". The record is from RNAcentral. Lineage: Bacteria; Bacillati; Bacillota; Bacilli; Caryophanales; Staphylococcaceae.